GUUGCGGCGGAGGGUGAGUAACACGUGGGUAACCUGCCUGUAAGACUGGGAUAACUCCGGGAAACCGGGGCUAAUACCGGAUGGUUGUUUGAACCGCAUGGUUCAAACAUAAAAGGUGGCUUCGGCUACCACUUACAGAUGGACCCGCGGCGCAUUAGCUAGUUGGUGAGGUAACGGCUCACCAAGGCAACGAUGCGUAGCCGACCUGAGAGGGUGAUCGGCCACACUGGGACUGAGACACGGCCCAGACUCCUACGGGAGGCAGCAGUAGGGAAUCUUCCGCAAUGGACGAAAGUCUGACGGAGCAACGCCGCGUGAGUGAUGAAGGUUUUCGGAUCGUAAAGCUCUGUUGUUAGGGAAGAACAAGUACCGUUCGAAUAGGGCGGUACCUUGACGGUACCUAACCAGAAAGCCACGGCUAACUACGUGCCAGCAGCCGCGGUAAUACGUAGGUGGCAAGCGUUGUCCGGAAUUAUUGGGCGUAAAGGGCUCGCAGGCGGUUUCUUAAGUCUGAUGUGAAAGCCCCCGGCUCAACCGGGGAGGGUCAUUGGAAACUGGGGAACUUGAGUGCAGAAGAGGAGAGUGGAAUUCCACGUGUAGCGGUGAAAUGCGUAGAGAUGUGGAGGAACACCAGUGGCGAAGGCGACUCUCUGGUCUGUAACUGACGCUGAGGAGCGAAAGCGUGGGGAGCGAACAGGAUUAGAUACCCUGGUAGUCCACGCCGUAAACGAUGAGUGCUAAGUGUUAGGGGGUUUCCGCCCCUUAGUGCUGCAGCUAACGCAUUAAGCACUCCGCCUGGGGAGUACGGUCGCAAGACUGAAACUCAAAGGAAUUGACGGGGGCCCGCACAAGCGGUGGAGCAUGUGGUUUAAUUCGAAGCAACGCGAAGAACCUUACCAGGUCUUGACAUCCUCUGACAAUCCUAGAGAUAGGACGUCCCCUUCGGGGGCAGAGUGACAGGUGGUGCAUGGUUGUCGUCAGCUCGUGUCGUGAGAUGUUGGGUUAAGUCCCGCAACGAGCGCAACCCUUGAUCUUAGUUGCCAGCAUUCAGUUGGGCACUCUAAGGUGACUGCCGGUGACAAACCGGAGGAAGGUGGGGAUGACGUCAAAUCAUCAUGCCCCUUAUGACCUGGGCUACACACGUGCUACAAUGGACAGAACAAAGGGCAGCGAAACCGCGAGGUUAAGCCAAUCCCACAAAUCUGUUCUCAGUUCGGAUCGCAGUCUGCAACUCGACUGCGUGAAGCUGGAAUCGCUAGUAAUCGCGGAUCAGCUGCCGCGGAUUUC
Molecule: ribosomal RNA, 1287 nt
Filed under: Bacillus subtilis
Lineage: Bacteria; Bacillati; Bacillota; Bacilli; Caryophanales; Bacillaceae
Description: bacterial SSU rRNA
Rfam family: Bacterial small subunit ribosomal RNA
Source: RNAcentral